UGAGGAAUAUUGGUCAAUGGGCGAGAGCCUGAACCAGCCAUGCCGCGUGAAGGAUGAAGGCGUUCUGCGUUGUAAACUUCUUUUAUUGGGGAAGAAACCUGGAUUUUCUAAUUCAGCCGACGGUACCCAAGGAAUAAGCACCGGCUAACUCCGUGCCAGCAGCCGCGGUAAUACGGAGGGUGCAAGCGUUAUCCGGAUUUACUGGGUUUAAAGGGUGCGUAGGCGGACUUUUAAGUCAGGGGUGAAAUCCCGGGGCUCAACCCCGGAACUGCCUUUGAUACUAUUGGUCUUGAAUGUUGUGGAGGUGGGCGGAACGGGUCAUGUAGCGGUGAAAUGCAUAGAUAUGACCCGGAACACCGAUUGCGAAGGCAGCCCGCUACGCAACGAUUGACGCUGAGGCACGAAAGCGUGGGGAUCAAACAG
This 423-nucleotide ribosomal RNA is filed under the name uncultured bacterium. RNAcentral describes it as "bacterial SSU rRNA". It matches the Rfam family "Bacterial small subunit ribosomal RNA", at positions 355 to 775 of the family's 1533-position model. The record is from RNAcentral.